AUAAAGUUUUAUUUUGGCUUAAUGAUUUAUUAUUAAUUUAAUUUAUAUGUAAAUUUUUGUGGGAAAUUUUAUUUAUUUAAAUAAUAAUUAAUAUUUAAUUAUUUGCAAUAAUUAAUAUUAUAUAUUAAAGAAAUUUAGAAAUAGUAAUAUUAAAGAGUAUUGACAAAAUUUGUGCCAGCUGUCGCGGUUAUACGAAUUAUACAAGUAAAUUUUAUUAGUUUAAAGUUAAAUAUAUUUAAUUAAAUAAUAAUACGUUUAUAAGGUGAAAUUUUAAAAUUAUUAAUUUUUAUAAUAAGUUAGUUGAUUCUUAAAAAUUUUAAAUUUAAACUAGGAUUAGAUACCCUAUUAUUUAAAGUGUAAUAAAAAAAAUUUAGGUAGUAGUAGAUAUGUUCUUGAAACUUAAAAAUUUUGGCGGUAUUUUAGUCUGUUCAGAGGAACUUGUUUAAUAAUCGAUAGUCCACGUUGUACCUUACUUAAAUUUGUUAUCAGUUUAUAUACCGUCGUUAUUAGAAUAUUUUAUAAGAAAGUUAAUUUUCCCAAUUUUUUAUAUUAAAUUAUAUCAGAUCAAGGUGUAGCUUAUGUUUAAGAAUAAAUGAGUUACAAUAAAUUUAUUUAAAUGAAUUUAAAUUUGAAAUAUUUAUUGAAGGUGGAUUUGAUAGUAAAAUUAUAAAGAAAAAUAAUUUGAUUUUAGCUCUAAAAUAUGUACAUAUCGCCCGUCACUCUUAUUAUUAAGGUAAGAUAAGUCGUAACAUAGUAGAUGUACUGGAAAGUGUCUCUAGAAUGCA
This 785-nucleotide non-coding RNA is filed under the name Hyalurgus flavipes. The record is from RNAcentral. Lineage: Eukaryota; Metazoa; Arthropoda; Insecta; Diptera; Tachinidae.